Molecule: ribosomal RNA, 525 nt
Filed under: Triticum aestivum (bread wheat)
Lineage: Eukaryota; Viridiplantae; Streptophyta; Magnoliopsida; Poales; Poaceae
Description: partial small subunit ribosomal RNA
Source: RNAcentral
AUGCGUGCAGGCAUAGAGGAGGUCUUUCCGUUGGCAGUGCAUAGGCACUACAGGUGGCACAUUAUAAAGAAGGCUGAGGAGACGCUAGGACCGUUCUUUGCUGACCGUCCAGAGCUCCACAAGGCAUUCGAGCUGUGCAUGGACCACAGCUUGAUGGUGGAGGAGUUUGAAAGGAGUUGAAUGGCCAUGAUUGAAACAUAUCAAGUCCAAGACAACGAGACGCUUGCUAGCCUGUGGGAGAAGCGAAUGUACUGGGUGCCGGCCUACUUCAUGCAGUGCUUCUUCCCCUUUCUGCAGACUACGCAGCGCAGCGAGGGGUUCAAUGCAGUUUUGAAGCGGUACGUGAGCCCUGGCAACUCAUUGCUACAGUUUGCCAAGCAAUACACAACUUUGCAACAAAAAAUUCUGGGAUUUGAGCUACAGCAAGAAGCGACCACCGCGCUAAAGCAGCCAAAAUUGCUAACGUAUUUACCGAUGGAGAGGCAAAUGAGCAAGAUAUACACCAACAAGAUCUUUAACAAGUAA